GGACGAACGCUGGCGGCGUGCUUAACACAUGCAAGUCGAACGGAGUUACGUUUUCGGAUGUAACUUAGUGGCGAACGGGUGAGUAACGCGUGAGGAACCUGCCUCUCAGUGGGGGACAACAGUUGGAAACGACUGCUAAUACCGCAUAAUGUCAUUGGACGGCAUCGUUUAAUGACCAAAGAUUUAUUGCUGAGAGAUGGCCUCGCGUCUGAUUAGCUAGUUGGUGGGGUAACGGCCCACCAAGGCGACGAUCAGUAGCCGGACUGAGAGGUUGACCGGCCACAUUGGGACUGAGAUACGGCCCAGACUCCUACGGGAGGCAGCAGUGGGGAAUAUUGGGCAAUGGGCGAAAGCCUGACCCAGCAACGCCGCGUGAAGGAAGAAGGCCUUCGGGUUGUAAACUUCUUUUACCAGGGACGAACACAAUGACGGUACCUGGAGAAAAAGCAACGGCUAACUACGUG
RNAcentral lists this ribosomal RNA (464 nucleotides) under uncultured bacterium. RNAcentral describes it as "bacterial SSU rRNA". It matches the Rfam family "Bacterial small subunit ribosomal RNA", at positions 27 to 507 of the family's 1533-position model. The record is from RNAcentral.